Molecule: ribosomal RNA, 406 nt
Filed under: uncultured bacterium
Lineage: Bacteria
Description: partial 16S ribosomal RNA
Rfam family: Bacterial small subunit ribosomal RNA
Source: RNAcentral
AUUGAACGCUGGCGGCAGGCCUAACACAUGCAAGUCGAACGAGUGGCGGACGGGUGAGUAAUGUCUGGGAAACUGCCUGAUGGAGGGGGAUAACUACUGGAAACAGUAGCUAAUACCGCAUACCAUCGGAUGUGCCCAGAUGGGAUUAGCGAGUUGGUGGGGUAAAGGCUCACCAAGGCGACGAUCCCUAGCUGGUCUGAGAGGAUGACCAGCCACACUGUAACUGAGACACGGUCCAGACUCCUACGGGAGGCAGCAGUGGGGAAUAUUGCACAAUGGGCGAAAGCCUGAUGCAGCCAUUCCGCGUGGAUGAAGAAGGCCUUCGGGUUGUAAAGUACUUUUGGCGGGGAGGCGGUACCCGCAGAAGAAGCACCGGCUAACUCCGUGCCAGCCGCCGCGGUAAUUC